Long non-coding RNA from Adelges cooleyi (spruce gall adelgid), 565 nucleotides. RefSeq lists it as uncharacterized. The transcript is spliced from 3 exons. The record is from RefSeq and is a predicted model, not a curated record. NCBI's taxonomy places the organism in Eukaryota, Metazoa, Arthropoda, Insecta, Hemiptera, Adelgidae.
UUAUACGAUAUACCUACUGAUUUAUUUAAUACUAUACGUAAUAUAUUAUUAUUAUAUGGCCAAUUAACAGUUGUUAAUUAUAGUUUAACUGGAAUAAAUGUUGAUGACUAACCGCAGGAAAGCUGACAUUUUUUAAGAAGAUUACUGGAAAGAUAAUGAUGUGUUGAAACCUUAAUGUACAAUUUGUCACUGAUUACAAUAGUCAGUAUUGGUUUAUCAAGCUACAUAUCAAUAUGUCAUUUAUGAUUAUUCAGUUACUAGUUAGAUGAAGAAAAUAUUGCUUUCUACUUGGAAUCUUAGAAGAAUAAAAUAUUAGCAUUUAACACAACCAUACUCAACCAGCGGCCCCUGGGCUGCAUACAGCCCGCCGAUUAUUUUUAUGUGGCCCAAAAAGAACUCAUAUUAUAAAUAUUUAAGGGCUAUAAAAAAAUAUAUAUAUUAAUAUAAAAUAUAACAAAACAAUUAUAUUUUCAAGAUGUGUAACGUUCGAGAUUGCAAUAAGGAUGUUAAAUUUUAACAUCAUAAUUAUUUGUCUCGAAUAAUAACUUGUAUAAGCAUUUUUAUU